CGAGGUUGCUGUGGAGAUGGCUGACAAGUGCUGCCAGGCAAAUGCUCAGUUUGCAGAGAUAUCUGAGAAUCUCAAAGUCAAAAGCACAAAGGACUGCAAAGACCAGUCGGCUAAAAAUUCACUGGAAACUCUUCUCUACAAACCUGUGGACAGAGUGACGCGCAGCACGCUCGUUCUGCAUG
This is a long non-coding RNA of Etheostoma spectabile (orangethroat darter), 182 nucleotides long. RefSeq lists it as uncharacterized. The record is from RefSeq and is a predicted model, not a curated record. Lineage: Eukaryota; Metazoa; Chordata; Actinopteri; Perciformes; Percidae. The transcript has 3 exons.